This 340-nucleotide long non-coding RNA is filed under the name Elaeis guineensis (African oil palm). RNAcentral describes it as "long non-coding RNA (EGUI_LNC062231)". Lineage: Eukaryota; Viridiplantae; Streptophyta; Magnoliopsida; Arecales; Arecaceae. The record is from RNAcentral.
CGGAGGAGGAGACUGAAAAAUUGGAGAUGAGGUCGGAGCUUGCGGAGCUCGCUGAGAUCUGGCUGCGGAGGCCGUGGAUCGUCUGGUGGAUGCCUUUCGGAGAGGCAUCAGGUGGAGAUCUGGCAGGAGAAGGAGAAGAUGUCGGAGAAGAUGACCGGAGACAGUCCCGUUGAGCACUCCUUUUAGAACAAGGGUACUGCGAAGACACAGGCCAUCCUCCCUCUAGCACCAAUUCUGUUGGUGCAGAAUUUCAUCGGCAUCGAAGAAGCUGGAGUCGAGAUGGCCAUGGCUGCCAUCGGGACCUGCAAGGGAAGUCUAAACUGGAGUUGGGAGUGCUCCG